CCUUCGAUAGCUCAGUUGGUAAACCGGGGGACUGUAGAUUUAUAAUUGUGAUCCCCAGGUCUCUGGUUCGAAUCCGGGUCGAAGGA
Non-coding RNA from Nematostella vectensis (starlet sea anemone), 86 nucleotides. The record is from Rfam. NCBI's taxonomy places the organism in Eukaryota, Metazoa, Cnidaria, Anthozoa, Actiniaria, Edwardsiidae.